RNAcentral lists this ribosomal RNA (497 nucleotides) under uncultured bacterium. Its description in RNAcentral is "partial 16S ribosomal RNA". It matches the Rfam family "Bacterial small subunit ribosomal RNA", at positions 28 to 507 of the family's 1533-position model. The record is from RNAcentral.
GAUGAACGCUGGCGGCGUGCCUAAUACAUGCAAGUCGAGCGAACAGACGAGGAGCUUGCUCCACUGACGUUAGCGGCGGAAGGGUGAGUAACACGUGGAUAACCUACCUAUAAGACUGGGAUAACUUCGGGAAACCGGAGCUAAUACCGGAUAAUAUAUUGAACCGCAUGGUUCAAUAGUGAAAGACGGUUUUGCUGUCACUUAUAGAUGGAUCCGCGCCGCAUUAGCUAGUUGGUAAGGUAACGGCUUACCAAGGCAACGAUGCGUAGCCGACCUGAGAGGGUGAUCGGCCACACUGGGACUGAGACACGGUCCAGACUCCUACGGGAGGCAGCAGUAGGGAAUCUUCCGCAAUGGGCGAAAGCCUGACGGAGCAACGCCGCGUGAGUGAUGAAGGUCUUCGGAUCGUAAAACUCUGUUAUUAGGGAAGAACGAAUGUGUAAGUAACUAUGCACGUCUUGACGGUACCUGAUCAGAAAGCCACGGCUAACUACGUG